This is a long non-coding RNA of Ictalurus punctatus (channel catfish), 4903 nucleotides long. The record is from Ensembl. Lineage: Eukaryota; Metazoa; Chordata; Actinopteri; Siluriformes; Ictaluridae.
CGGAUGUUGACAACCGUGACAUUGUUUACUGUGGAGACGUGCGUUUGAUUUGUUUCUGUUCCGGAGUAUUCUGUCACGUCGCGAGACGUAAGGGAGUAGGGUACGGAAGCAGGCACCAUGCAUCAGAUGUGGCUGUUCUCUAUGGCGCAGUGUGUGCUGUCGGUGUCCGUGAUCGCCUUGAAUGUUAGGCUGUGUAUGCGUUUGGAUUCGGGUAGCCAUUUAAAGAGUGUUUCCUCCUGUCUAAAGCUGUGUUUGGGCUGGGUGGGAGCUAUCGGGGGUGCCAUGGACAUUCCAGUCAACAUGUUGCUGAACAUGAGGAGCACUCAGUGCCUGUACACGUGCAUGAUGCUGGUGUGCUUCCCCCUGCUGGUCAGACAGUUCACCGUGUGGCUGCUGCUGCUUCUCGUCCUCAACACGCACCUACAUUGCCGAUUAGGACACAGGUAUGCAGGCUUGGUAACACGUCGGCGAAUGCUGUGUCUGGUGCUCCUCAGCUGGCUUUGCUCUGUUGUAACUGCCUUCGCACAGUUCAUUGUGUGCAACUCAGUGGACACUUGGGGAACGGCCGGGCUGGGAUUCAUCUGGCCCAACCAGACUACCCAUAAGCCACACCCGCAAGCCCCAUCAGUGAUUGGCGAGUACCUUCCUUAUGGCGGAUUCCUGUCCAAGUUCCUGGUGGAGGACAUGAAAAACUUCACCUACGCAGAGAUUCACAGCAGCCACUGGGGCGUCUGUGCUCAUGACACUGUCCUUAACCCAGCCUUUUUGGUCUAUGUCUAUGAUGUUGCUGUUUAUUACAUUCCCCUACUUAUUCUGCUGGGUGUAUAUGUAGAUCUUAGCUGUGUGAUGUCACGACAGACUGUGAUAAGUCUCUCUGAGCUCCAGAUGAAAACCUCAGGCUGGUCUCGCUCUCUGGUUCUGUCCUUGUGUCUCCUGGUUCUCCUGUACCUACCUAUACACACCAUCCAUGCUUUGCAUCUCUUUGCCCCCAGCAGCCAAUGGCCUCUUUGGGCAAAUUAUGUGGCCUCUAUCCUUUUCCAGACUUAUGGUUUGGUUCCUCCCGUCCUUUUCAGUUCUUCUCCUCAAAAAGUGACUACAGGUAGUGAAUCUCUGGCUCUAAAAACAGCUACCUCACGGCUGAAGUCUAUUUCCCCGACACCCUUGGAGUUCUGUUUGCCUAAGCCAAUGCCAAAAGGCAAAACAUGACAAGAGGUGUGAUACCAUGAUGAUGAUUUUCACAAAACCCAAAAUCCAAAUCCUGAUCCUAACCAAUUAUACAAUUUUCAAUACUCCGAUUUUAAAUUUCACCCGAGUGACCAUGAUGACUGCUCCAUGAAAAUGAUGUAAGCUUUUCUUUCCAUCGUUUCUGAAUAAUUAUGAUUUCUGCCAGCUAGCUGUAAUCCUCAAAUUAAUAUUCCUCUGACAACCACCUCAAAUAACAGUAAUGGUGCUGUCCUAAUCGAAUGCCACAGAAGGAUUAACUGGCUACAUGUACUAUAGCCCAGUGAUGAAGACUGAUCUGAGCAUGUUUAAUUAAACCAAGAGUAAUAAUAACAUCUACGAUCGGGGCUGUAAUAAUUGUAUUCAGACAUAAUUGACCACAGAUUUCAUUGCUAUUUGAUUAAAUGUGUCUUUCUUGUGUGUAGCUUGAAUAAAAUGCAUAGCUCACCACUAAUUGGGUUCUUUUUUAUAUUGGAAAAAAAUGACCCUGUCUGAUAUUCAAAUUGCACAAAGGUCUUGGCUCCUUUCCCUCCCAGUCACUCUCCAUCUCUUUUUUUAGGGGGAAAUCUCUGGCCAAGUUCCUCGUUUGUCCUGUGCUUUUCACAUUUCACUGUGUUAUGAUGAGUGGUCCCUUCUGACUAUUGCUUCAUCUGUUUCAACUGUUCAUCUCUCUCUCUCUUUCUGAAGCUUUUUCUGUCUCACUGAAGUUUAGGCCACACGGGUCCCUCGCUGCACAGCGCUACUGAAAGGUGGAGCCAAGAGAAAAAAGGAAAAGCUCUCUUAGAUGGAGAGGCCCAUUCGAUUGUACUCUGUGCAUGAAAAACCUUUUUGUUCCCUGCUGGCUAGAACAGCUCCCUGCCAUUACUUUACCACUUCAGUCGAUCCAUAGGAUUUAAUCUUUGCCAGGCUUUCUGCAUGAAUGAGUUCACUUCAAAGUAAGAAAAAAAAAAUCAGGUAACUAACAUUCAGAGUGCGACUUAAGACAUCAGCAUCCAAAGCUGAGGUACUUGCUGUAUGUCAUAUCUAAACUAUUUAAAUCGGCAUAAAUGCAUUAGGUAUGUGCUUAUAUUGUAUAUAGCUAUGAUUCUAUCCACUGGAUGACGUGCUUAUUCUUUAUAUCUGAAGGUGUAAUGCUACCACAGUCCUUUCUAGGAUUCAAGUCUAAAAAGCUUCAAGGAAUGAAUAAAAACAGACACUUCUGCUAGGAACAAAAAUGAGAGUUCAGAAAAAGGAAAAUUAAACUUAUACUUAAACUGUAAGCAUUUUCUUAACAUAAAACUUCAUUAUGAUAACAUUUGCGUUAGACAGAUAACCAAACCUAGCAUGUCUUAUGCACUGUUAAAAAUUUGCUAUCUCUCUUAUUUCAAUAAUAACUUGUUGCAAUAAUAUAUUUUUAACUGUUGAUCAGUUCUGCACAUCGGCUUGGAGGAAUUUUAGACCGUUCCUCAGUACAGAACAGUUUCAACUCUGGGAUGUUGGUGGGUUUCCUCACGUGAACUGCUUGCUUCAGGUUCUUCCACAGGAUCUCUAUUGGAUUAAGGUCAGGACUUUGACUUGACCAUUGCAAAACAUUAACUUUAUUCUUCUUUAACCAUUCUGUGGUAGAAUGACUUAUGUGCUUAGGGCUGUUGUCUUGCUGCAUGACCUGCUUUCUCUUGAGAUUCAGUUCACUGACAUAUGUCCUGACAUUUUCCUUUAGUAUUCGCUGUUGUACAUUAAUUCAGAACUGAUUGUUCCAUCAAUGAUAGAGGUCGUCCAGGCCCAGAUGCAGCAAAACAGGUCCAAACCAUGAUAGUACCACCAGCAUGUUUCACAGAUGGGAUAAGGUUCUUAUGCUGGAAUACAGUGGUUUCCUAUCUCCAAACAUAAUGCUUCUCAUUUAAACCAAAAAGUUUUAUUUGGCCUAUUGGAAAAAUAUUUUUCCAAUAGCCUACUGGCUUAUCCACAGAGAAGGCCAGCAAUGUUCUUUCUAGAGAGCAGUGGUUUUCUCCUUGCAUCCCUGCUAUGCACACCAUUGUUGUUUAAUGUUCUCCUGAUGUCUGGAGUUUGUCCAUCAAUUUCGACGAAGACCGAAGUUUCCAUUUCCGCCUCCAUUAUGGAGAACACAAACUGGGACUCGACUUGUGCAUGAAUUGGAUUAUAGUGUGGAAGACUUGCGCACUUUCCCAGUGACCACCACGAUCCAGUGGCAAGACUGAGUCAAGACGACUGAAGAUGGCCCCCGGGCGCAGUGAUUCAUACACCCAUUCAUACACUACGGUCACUUUGGAAACGCCAAUCCGCCUACCAUGCACGUCUUUGGACUGGGGUACCGGAGUACCCGGAGGAAACCCCCACAGUACGGGGAGAACAUGCAAACUCCACACACACAGGGCCACAAUGGGAAUCGAACCUCCAACCCUGGAGGUGUGAGGCGAAUGUGCUAACCACUAAGCCUCUCCUGAUGGUAGACUCAUGAACAUUAACAUUAGCCAAUGUGAGAGUCCUGUAGAUGCUUAGAAGAUACCCUGGGUUCUUUUGUAAUCUUGCAGACUAUUACACGUCUUGCUCUUGGAGUGAUCUUUGUUGGUCGAACACACCUGGGGAGGGUAAUAAUGCUCUUGAAUUUCCUCCAUUUGUACAAAAUCUAUCUCACUGUGGAUUGGUGGAGUCCAAACUCUUUAGAGAUAGUUUGGUAACCUUUUCCAGCCUGAUGAGCAUCAACAACUCUCUUUCUGAUGUUCCCAGAAAUCUCCUCUGUUCGUGCCAUGAGCCACUUCACAGACAUGUGUUUGUGAAGAUCAGACUUUGAUAGAUGCCUAAAACAGGUUGCUCACUCACACCUGAUUGUCAUCCCAUUGCUUGAAAUCACCUGACUCUAAUUUCACCUUCAAAUUAACUGCUAAUUGUAGAGGUUCACAUAUUUUUGCCACUCACAGACAUUUGUCUCAUUUGUUUAAUUGGGUUCUCUUUAUUUACUUUAGGACUUGUGUGAAAAUCCUGAUGAUGUAGAAAAUCCUAAAGGGUUCACAAACUUUCAAGCACCACUGUAUAUGUUGAAGCAUAAAUUCCAUAACUUGUGUUAGUAUUAAUUAUAAAAAAAAGUCUGCAUAAAGUCUAUGUAAAAGAAACACAUUGAACUAUUUUUUUCUAACCCGUUUAGGAACAUUAUGUUGGGUUUGGAGUGCAAAAAACAGGAAUUUUAUAUAUUGGUACUCUUCAAAGAUGAUGUUUUUUUCUUCUGUUUUUAUUCCAUUUCUGAAUCAUAAAUAAAAUAUUAGUGGCAGUGGGACCUGACUUCAUAUAGUGGACUCAGAAUACCUGACUAUUCCUUGCUCAUCCCAUCACCUCAGAUAACUUACAAAUAUUACAGAUUAAAAAAACAUUUAAAACCAUUAUAACUGAUGUUAACUAAAAUCUGGGCUUUGUCUGCUUUAGGAUAUGAAAGUAUAAUGUUCUCAAAACUACCACUGAAAUCAUGUUGGUUUAUAAGCGAAUCACUAAACCAAGGUGGCUUCUGAGAUGGGUUCAGCUUUAUGCCAGGCCUAAGUAAUGUCAGCACAUAUCUCCCUGGCUCAGUAUGCAAGUUUAAUUAAUAGAUCUCGUAGGAUUGAGUCAAAAUGACUAGACGUGUAAUAAAACAUUCUUCUAGCCAUAUGAAGGGCUUCAUUAGUUCUAAUGAGUAAAACCGAUGAAGCUCUUU